RNAcentral lists this non-coding RNA (24 nucleotides) under Mus musculus (house mouse). Lineage: Eukaryota; Metazoa; Chordata; Mammalia; Rodentia; Muridae. The record is from RNAcentral.
UGUGCUUGCUCCCUGUCUCUUCAG